This 406-nucleotide ribosomal RNA is filed under the name uncultured bacterium. RNAcentral's name for it is "partial 16S ribosomal RNA". It matches the Rfam family "Bacterial small subunit ribosomal RNA", at positions 30 to 525 of the family's 1533-position model. The record is from RNAcentral.
AUUGAACGCUGGCGGCAGGCUUAACACAUGCAAGUCGAGCGAGCGGCGGACGGGUGAGUAAUGUAUGGGAAACUGCCUGAUGGAGGGGGAUAACUCCUGGAAACGGUAGCUAAUACCGCAUCCCAUAAGAUGUGCCCAGAUGGGAUUAGCUAGGAGGUGGGGUAAUGGCUCACAUAGGCGAGGAUCCCUGGAUGGUUUGAGAGGAUGACCAGCAACACUGGAACUGAGACACUGUCCAGACUCCUACGGGAGGCAGCAGUGGGGAAUAUGGCACAAUGGGAGCAAGCCUGAUGCAGCCAUGCCGCGUGGGUGAAUAAGGCCUUCGGGUUGUAAAGCACUUUCAGCGAGGAGGCGUUACUCGCAGAAGAAGCACCGGCUAACUCCGGGCCAGCAGCCGCGGUAAUUA